Molecule: ribosomal RNA, 1046 nt
Filed under: Coniochaeta arenariae
Lineage: Eukaryota; Fungi; Ascomycota; Sordariomycetes; Coniochaetales; Coniochaetaceae
Description: SSU rRNA
Rfam family: Eukaryotic small subunit ribosomal RNA
Source: RNAcentral
AGGUAUAAGCAAUUAUACCGCGAAACUGCGAAUGGCUCAUUAAAUCAGUUAUCGUUUAUUUGAUAGUACCUUACUACUUGGAUAACCGUGGUAAUUCUAGAGCUAAUACAUGCUAAAAACCCCGACUUCGGAAGGGAUGUAUUUAUUAGAUUAAAAACCAAUGCCCUUCGGGGCUCUCUGGUGAUUCAUAAUAACUUCUCGAAUCGCACGGCCUUGCGCCGGCGACGGUUCAUUCAAAUUUCUGCCCUAUCAACUUUCGACGGCUGGGUCUUGGCCAACCAUGGUGACAACGGGUAACGGAGGGUUAGGGCUCGACCCCGGAGAAGGAGCCUGAGAAACGGCUACUACAUCCAAGGAAGGCAGCAGGCGCGCAAAUUACCCAAUCCCGACUCGGGGAGGUAGUGACAAUAAAUACUGAUACAGGGCUCUUUUGGGUCUUGUAAUUGGAAUGAGUACAAUUUAAACCCCUUAACGAGGAACAAUUGGAGGGCAAGUCUGGUGCCAGCAGCCGCGGUAAUUCCAGCUCCAAUAGCGUAUAUUAAAGUUGUUGCAGUUAAAAAGCUCGUAGUUGAACCUUGGGCCUGGCUGGCCGGUCCGCCUCACCGCGUGCACUGGUCCGGCCGGGCCUUUCCCUCUGGGAAACCCCUGGCCCUUCCCGGGGUGGGUGGGGAAACCAGGACUUAUACUUUGAACAAAUUAGAGCGCUUAAAGAACGUCUAUGCUCGAAUACUUUAGCGUGAAAUAAUAGAAUAAGACGUGUGGCUCUAUUGUGUUGGUCUCUGGGACCGCCGAAGAGAUUAAUAGGCACAGUCGGGGGUAUCAGUAUUCUAGUGUCAGAUGAGAAAUUCUUGUAUUUAUUGAACAAUCACUACUGCGAAAGCAUGCGACAAGUAUGUUUUCAUUAAUCAGGAACGAAAGUAAGGGGAUCGAAGACGAUCAGAUACGGUCGUAGUCUAACCGAUAAACUAUGCCGACUAGGGAUCGGACGAUGUCAUAUUUCUGACUCGUCGGCACUACCGAAAGUCAAAGUUUCUGGGUCUGGGGGG